Non-coding RNA from Punica granatum (pomegranate), 392 nucleotides. The record is from RefSeq and is a predicted model, not a curated record. Lineage: Eukaryota; Viridiplantae; Streptophyta; Magnoliopsida; Myrtales; Lythraceae.
CCCGACCCAUCAACGGUCCAACCCGACUCUUGAAGGUCCCAUCCCGCAUCUCGGGACUAGGGUCAACCCUACUAUAUAUAUAUAAGGCAAUGUUCGACAAGCUUCGACUUGGAGACAAUUGCCGACAAGAUGGAGGCUUCGUCUCACACGGCCUAUACGAGGGAAAAUGUAAGCCUGAGGAGAAGUAUUUUUUAUUGUAAAUGAGGCACGUGAGUGUAGUACAAUGAAAUCAAAAUCUUAACAUUUAAUACAAUGAAAUCAGAAUCUUGUAAAUGGGCACAUGUAGUCCCACCAUGAAUAUUAAACCUAGAACUUAUUGGUUGUUAGACGAGAACGUGCACCACUAUGCUAUAACCUCUUUGAUUAAACAUAUUUUACUUUUACCCUUUUUA